This 498-nucleotide ribosomal RNA is filed under the name Triticum aestivum (bread wheat). Its description in RNAcentral is "partial small subunit ribosomal RNA". Lineage: Eukaryota; Viridiplantae; Streptophyta; Magnoliopsida; Poales; Poaceae. The record is from RNAcentral.
CUAAUGUUUCUGAUUUAUUCUUUCAUGAAAUUAUUCGCUUGCAUGGUGUGCCAAAUACUAUUUGUUUCAGAUUGUGAUACUAAAUUUCUUAGCCACUUUUGGAGAUGUUUAUGGGCUAAGUUGGGGACUAAACUGCUUUUUAGUACUACUUGUCGCCCCCAAACUGAUGGACAAACUGAAAUAGUCAAUAGAACAUUGUCUACCAUGCUUAGGGAUGUUUUGAAGAAUAAUAAGAAAAUGUGGGAAGAAUGCUUGCAUCAUAUUGAAUUUGCUUAUAAUUGUUCUUUGCAUUCUACUACUAAAAUGUGUCCUUUUGAAAUUGUGUAUGGUUUCCUACCUCGUGCACCCAUUGAUUUGUUGCCUCUUCCAUCUUUGGAGAAGGUUAAUUUUGAUGCUAAACAACGUGCUGGAUUGAUCUUAAAAAUGCACGAGUUAACUAAGGAAAACAUUGAGCGUAAAAAUGCUAAAUAUAAACUUGCUGGAGAUAAGGGUAGAAAA